UUACACUUGAAGUUUGAGGUGGUUUUUGCCUUUGUAGAAGUUUUGUUUUAGAUUCCGACAUAGUUGUUGGCCUUGUAAUUAUAUCUGGAUCAAGUUCAAUUGCUCACACUUAGGCAAUAAACUUUUUGAUUGAUUGUGCACUAAUAGUGUAGUUAUGAACACAAAAUUUGAGCCUUGAACACUCGACUAACUUGCUUGACUAGAUUGGGGUGCUGUUAGGUGUAACUCUUCUUUUGAUUGUUGCCCCAUACUUUCAUCUUUAUCAACUAGAUGUCUAGCAUUUUGCCUUGUUCUUUUUGCCAUAGAUGGCUAUUCUUAACAUAUAAAAACAGUUGGAUAAAGUAAAUAUUAAUGUUGUUAACAAGUAAGAUAAGUUAGAUAAGGUGAGAGGUGUUACCUUCCCAUAACCCCUUGCAUUAUGAUUUGGCUCUCCACAAUUGGUGCAAGUCAUUACUCUCCCUUUUCUUGAAGCUGUCCAUUCACCUUACCUUUUGACUGCCUCAUCUUUUUGUCUUGUUCUCUUGAUUUUAGG
Molecule: long non-coding RNA, 532 nt
Filed under: Nicotiana benthamiana
Lineage: Eukaryota; Viridiplantae; Streptophyta; Magnoliopsida; Solanales; Solanaceae
Description: long non-coding RNA (NBEN_LNC015811)
Source: RNAcentral